Molecule: ribosomal RNA, 433 nt
Filed under: uncultured bacterium
Lineage: Bacteria
Description: partial 16S ribosomal RNA
Rfam family: Bacterial small subunit ribosomal RNA
Source: RNAcentral
AACGAACGCUGGCGGCAUGCCUAACACAUGCAAGUCGAACGAGGCCUUCGGGUCUAUUGGCGCACGUGUGCUUAACGCGUGGGAACCUGCCCUUAGGUUCGGAAUAACUCCCCGAAAGGGGUGCUAAUACCGGAUAAUCUCUUCGGACCAAAGAUUUAUCGCCGUUGGAUGGGCCCUCGUUGGAUUAGCUAGUUGGUAGUGUAAAAGCCUACCAAGGCGACGAUCCAUAGCUGGUCUGGGAGGAUGAUCAGGCACACUGGGAAUGAGACACGGCCCAGAACGCUACGGGGGGGAGGAGAGGGGAACACUGGAGAAGGGGCGAAAGCCUGAUACAGCAAUGCCGCGUGAGUGAUGAAGGCCUUAGGGUUGUAAAGCUCUUUUACCCGGGAUGAUAAUGACAGUACCGGGAGAAUAAGCUCCGGCUAACUACGUG